UUAAGUCCUUAUGGCAAUAUUAUUAAAUUAUUAAAUUAUUUGAUUCCAUCUUUUUCAUGAAAAGAUCCGGCAAUGUACUCGAUGAUAUCUUGUUGACAAGAAAUAAAUUCUGAGUACUUUGUAGUACUACCGAGGGGAAUGUCACUCCGCGACACUAGCGUGCCUAGCUAAUCGAGGAAGGUGGGGCGAUAAUAUGAACGUUUUAAAAAUUACGUCAUUUAUGGACACCCUCUGACCAAAUUUAGAACAAAUUUCUGAGGAUGGUGAGGCAGUUGCCCCAUGUUGCCCCACCCCAGCUCCGCGAUAACACACUAAAACGCACGAAAACGAGCUCGAAAAGCAUCAACGCUACUCAUCGUACCGAAUUUUCACAUAACGCCACCAGAAAGUAAGUUAUCGCAAGUUAACGCGCGUUAAAGCGAGUUAAAGCGGUCAGCGUCUGCUCGAUUUUUGAACCAAACCAAAUCGAUCUUGCAACCCUGUCGUCAUUUUCGAGUAGUUUUUCUUCGGGUUUGGCAACCCGUUCUUUGUUUUGAUUAUUUUCCUGCAGUUUUCGUAAAUAAACAAAACAAUCUGUGAGUUUAAUUUGUUUUGCCCAUUCGGUGACGAAAACGCUGCAGAUUUGCCGCCCCGCUGGUGGUCUCACGGGGCAGGUGGAAUCAUCCCGAGUCCGAGGUACGAGGAGAUUUUUGAACCGAUGGCGGGUCAAGCGAAUCCGGGUUUGACGGAGCGGAUACGGGAGCCGAAGAAUAUGCUUCAGGGUUUGUGAAGGCGGCACAUAUUAGUGACUUUCAAUUUGAGAACCAGCGAAAGACGAUCCACAACUAUGGGACGCGUUUGAUCCGUCGGUGGAGGAAGGACCGAGUGGAGGUGGUGGGGCACUUGCAGGCCGCGUACGGCACGGACGGGAAGACGGUGUUUGAAUCUUUUAUAGCGAAUCAGGCGGGGGAUAAAAGAAAAAAGUUGAAUAUCGCCAAUCUGAAAGAAGUUGAUGGAUUUUUUGGACUGUGAGGCGAGGACGAGGAACUUGUGUCCAGGCCGAACGGGGCCGAGCAGGUUGUGAUCGAGGAGAUGAUGGCCAAAAAGCAGCGCCGGAACCGCAUGACUGAGAAUAAGCCGAACGAGUAUCCCCGAACAGUGCUUCCUGCUAGUGGCGGGAACGUCCGACGUCCGAUAAGAUCUUUUGCGUGAGUAGAUUCAACAAAAAAUAAUGGGAUAAGAAGCCUCAAAUUUUCUUCUAUUUCAGUGGGGCGCCCGCAGUGGAGAUUUCGUCCAGGAGUACGAACGACAUCUGGGCGCGGUAAACUUGAUCACCUUCGACGACUAAAACCUGGCGACGCAAAGUCUACAUCUGUUUUACGGCCUGUACGAGCAGCUGAGUGCCUACACCAACAGUAUCGCCGUGCGCUGAUUCUCAAGUUUCUCCUGUUCCUCGCGGAUACGAAUAGUUUCGCGGGUGCGUCCAACGGAGGUCCGCUGUUGAAUCUGGACCACCGCGAGGACAGCAUCAACAGUAAUGGUUUGCCGGCACCGGUGCCUAUGCUGGCGGAGUUCUUCAAGGACGGGCAACUCCAAUCUGAACAUUCCCGAGCCCGGCCUCAUCGAAGGGAUUCUUCCGCGCAGUGAAUUGACCGGUCACGAUUGGU
Long non-coding RNA from Culex pipiens pallens (northern house mosquito), 1646 nucleotides. RefSeq lists it as uncharacterized. The record is from RefSeq and is a predicted model, not a curated record. The transcript has 2 exons. NCBI's taxonomy places the organism in Eukaryota, Metazoa, Arthropoda, Insecta, Diptera, Culicidae.